This is a long non-coding RNA of Mauremys mutica (yellowpond turtle), 2148 nucleotides long. RefSeq lists it as uncharacterized. The record is from RefSeq and is a predicted model, not a curated record. Lineage: Eukaryota; Metazoa; Chordata; Testudines; Geoemydidae. The transcript is spliced from 3 exons.
GUGCUUUUUAUCUCUGAGAUCAAUCCCACAUCCAAGCUUUUAGAAAUGAAGAAAUUUACCUCUGAGUUACAACGUGUGAGAAGACCCAUGAACCUACAUAGAGCCCAGCCUGCUAUAUAUGAAAUUCUGAGAACUGCCUUCUACAUAGAUCUUACCCUUUUCUACUACUGCAUUUACAGGUAACACUUUCAUUCCAUAAACACUAGACUGAUAAAUAUGCUGUAUUUUUAAGGGUACUGAUCCGCCUUAUAAUAUCUAGUAUCCAAUAUGCUUUUGGAGGACUUUCUCUUUAAGAAGCAGCUUAAUAGGACUUUAAGUAAAAAAGUUAGUCACUUCUCCAAGAAAUUUACACAUGUUACUUCUACCUUAAAUCUACUCCUCACCUUUUUGUAUGUUACAUUUAUGGAUUUUUCUAAUUUAUAUUUUAUUAUGUAUUUAAUAGGUAUGUCUAUGGUGCCCACCACUGUAAUUUCUGUGCAUCUCACAAAAAGAAGAAAGUCACCCCUGCUGCCGGUGAGUGGCAGAGGAGUGCCAUCUCAAAGUUACAGUGUACUGUAGGCAUGAGAGGAGAGCAGAGCCUACAAGUGGGAGUUGAAGGAAGAUCUGGUGAUCGCUCUAAAUUUUGAUGGGAAAGCUUUACUUGCUUGCAAAGAGGUGGCCUGGAAAAAAAUGCAAAGGUGCUUCAACAAGCAGACAAUCUAUGCUUGCAUUUUUGGAAGAGCAAAGGAACAAACAAAAACCCAGUCUGACUUACAUGUACAGAGUUCAGAGUCACACCUGUAUGAUGCAUAGUCAAUGCAAUGUUCAUACAAAGAUGUAAUUGUGCAUUUUUACAAUAUUUGAAACAACUUUAUUUUUGUAACUCUUAGCUCAGAGACUGAGUGAAGAGAACAGAUGCCUAGUUUGUUGCAUCAGAUGGUGCAGUGACAAGUUCUCCUAGCAACUGAUACCUACUGUCUUGUGAUCUCAGAAUCAAGAUGGAAAAUCUCUCGGCCAUUAUCUAUCAGAACCACUAGAUAGGCCCCCUGGAGCCUAUCCCUCAAGUGUGCAUGAACACUAGUGUCAGGAACUCGUCAUCUCAAAAAAUCAGCACUUUCCAAACCUCCCGACGCAGCAAGACAUCUGGCUUUACUGAGUGAUUGGUUAGCUCCAGAAAGUGAAUCAGCACAGUACCAAUCUUCAUGUGCUGGAAUGCAUUAAGGGCAUAGGAAGGAAACAGAAAAGUAGAGCAGCCAGUCAGAGAAGGCAUCAAAGAGGAAAAAGAACAAACGAAGGAAGAUGACAAGAUGUAGACAAAUGAAUAGAAGAGCAAGAUGAAAAUAAAGUUCAGCAGAACCAUUUGAGUAAUAUAAAAAUUCUUUUUGAUUUCUUCAAAUUCUGUUUAAAGUGUGGUUCACGUCUCACACUGAUUACUGGAGCUUUCCAUUGUUGUUUUCUUCUUCUCUACUUAACAUCCUCCUACUCUGCCCCAAAAUUCUGCACUGGUUUCCUGUCUUACUUCAAAUUCAAACUCCUUAUCCUCUCUUACAACACCAGACUCAUUUACUCACUAAUGCCUGUCACUCCUUCUGCUUAUUCCAAUCGUCUCUCUCUUUUCCUAUGAUAGGCUUUAUGCCUUCAAUCAUGUUGCCCCCAUACUAGGAAUACACUUCCCUACCCUCAUCCACAGAGCUUCCUCUCUUAACAAUCCAUCAGCUCCCUUUCUCAUCAAUAAUUCCCACAGGCUCCUUGUCCUGAACUGUGAUUGUAUUUAAACAGUAACAUCUUCAGGACAGGGCAUUGGUCUUAACACUUUGUAAAGAGCCAUGUAGAUUUAUAGCACUAUGUACACUUUUAAUACAGGUGAUAAAAAAACAGAACUACCACCAUAUGCUUCUCCUCUUGCGUUAAAAGGAGACGCCAAGACAGAAGGUCAUCAGAAGUUACACCUUUCUUCACAAAAACUUUCUUCUAAAAAACUAAGGGGGUACAGUACCAAAAAAAGCAAUAGUGUGAAAGUUCUGGAAACAGAAAUCCAGAGAAGUAUUCAAGGUAUGGGCAAUGAAAUGAAAUCUUGUACAGACAUUCUAUAGAUUUCCACUGCAUUAUUCUACAGGAAAUGGCCUCUCUUUGAAUGAUAAAAGGCAUGGUACACUCAGGACUGGCCUU